UUUUUUUAUUUCUUUCGACCAGGUCACGGAUACACGAAAGAAAAGUUGUAGAGCUUUUCCUCAAGUAAUUACUUCAUUAGCAUACUGCGACAAGUAUUGGGUCCUUCGGGGUUUUUGAAGAGGCAAAAUCUUUCAACUGGUGGAGAUUUCCGAGUAAAAGAGGGUCGACAGAGGAAAAUUCCACGUACAGAAGCUUCGUACAAGGACGUUCAGCUUUUCAGGCAGAUAGUUUUUUAAGCUUCUUUUUGCAGCUUGUUUUGCUCAACGUACGUAAACGCCAAAGUUAAAGAGGCGGCGGACCAUGGCAAUUAUGCGUUCGACCAACGAAAAACGAUUAGCUCGCACGGAUGUGCAGGUGGUCGGUGGACGAAGUAGCAGCAAUUCUCCGAAGCGAAAUAGAAAUAUUCCAGCGUUUCAAUUUAAAGCUAGACAACAGAUGUUGCAAGAGACACGCGAUACAUCCAUAAAGCGCAGCUCCAAGUGGCAUAAAAAUAACAUAGCGCGGGGAUUCGCGGUUUCAGCCGCGUCGAAUUUCUCAAGCAGAAGCGCCAUUACCAGCGGCCCCCAUAAAAUAAGCUGCGGGAUCGCGGCUCCGUACGACCAAACCUCGUGGCAGCUCUAACCGAACAACCAGUUUAACCCAAGAGAAGGCAGACUCGCAUUGUCUCCGUGCUCUCGUUCCGGCCGUUUUCCAUCGUCCACGCACGGCUUUUGUCGACAGAUCUGCGUAGGGGUGGAACGCGUAAAAAUACGACGAACAGGGGGAGGGGGCAGGCAUUGUUCCAAAAGUUAGCCUCGCCGCGUGCAGCAUGCACGAAAUCCGCAAAGAUGCAGACCACCCAGGUCGUCUGACGCCUCUGCCUUAUCCUCAACGGAAUUGACUUAGCGGAAUCCGGGGCGAGGGACGUAAGGACAGGGGACAACGAAAAUGGAAAGAAAGAGAGGAGAAGGAGAGGGAUAGGAAAGAGAGAGGGUCGGCUCGUAUGAUCACGACUCCCCACGUUGGCCAUUGCAAAGCGAAUGUGGGGCGCCUGCUCGCUUUGCCAUUCGCUACGUUUUGCUGGCUUCUUGAAAAACUACCUCGGCAUCUAUUUACCGUCGGAUGAUAACCGGCACGGUCCUUGGGAAUAAAGGAAUUCGAGUGAGAGAUAAGCAGCGGACAAGCACGAGACCCGAUGUCUUAGUUUUGGGAACUCGAGAAGCGACGAGUGUACGUUGCAACAGGUUAAACCUAACCUUGCUGAUAUUAUCGAUUUGUCGAUUUUUUAGGAAUUUGUAUAAAGUUAGAUUUUAGAAGGAAAGAGGCGACGAUGAGUGUGCAAUUUUGAGUGAAAUUUGCUAACUGGUCGUUUGCUUGCUACCUGAUCUGGUAGGUUAGUUCGAUGGUUGUUAACAAUGUUGAGAUGUUCUGGGUUUUAGAAUUUUUUUGUGAUUUUAGUUGGAU
This is a long non-coding RNA of Bombus impatiens (common eastern bumble bee), 1444 nucleotides long. RefSeq lists it as uncharacterized. Lineage: Eukaryota; Metazoa; Arthropoda; Insecta; Hymenoptera; Apidae. The record is from RefSeq and is a predicted model, not a curated record. The transcript has 4 exons.